GAUGAACGCUGGCGGCGUGCCUAAUACAUGCAAGUCGAGCGAAUGGAUUAAGAGCUUGCUCUUAUGAAGUUAGCGGCGGACGGGUGAGUAACACGUGGGUAACCUGCCCAUAAGACUGGGAUAACUCCGGGAAACCGGGGCUAAUACCGGAUAACAUUUUGAACCGCAUGGUUCGAAAUUGAAAGGCGGCUUCGGCUGUCACUUAUGGAUGGACCCGCGACGCAUUAGCUAGUUGGUGAGGUAACGGCUCACCAAGGCAACGAUGCGUAGCCGACCUGAGAGGGUGAUCGGCCACACUGGGACUGAGACACGGCCCAGACUCCUACGGGAGGCAGCAGUAGGGAAUCUUCCGCAAUGGACGAAAGUCUGACGGAGCAACGCCGCGUGAGUGAUGAAGGCUUUCGGGUCGUAAAACUCUGUUGUUAGAGAAGAACAAGUGCUAGUCGAAUAAGCUGGCACCUUGACGGUACCUAACCAGAAAGCCACGGCUAACUACGUGCCAGCCGCCGCCGUAA
RNAcentral lists this ribosomal RNA (515 nucleotides) under uncultured bacterium. Its description in RNAcentral is "partial 16S ribosomal RNA". It matches the Rfam family "Bacterial small subunit ribosomal RNA", at positions 28 to 523 of the family's 1533-position model. The record is from RNAcentral.